Molecule: non-coding RNA, 135 nt
Organism: Triticum urartu
Lineage: Eukaryota; Viridiplantae; Streptophyta; Magnoliopsida; Poales; Poaceae
Source: Rfam
AAAGUACUCCCUCCGUCCCAAAUUUCUUGUCUUAGAUAUGUCUUGAUACGGAUGUAUCAAGUCACAUUUUAGUAUUAGAUACAUCCGUAUCUAGACAAAUCUAAGACAAGAAAUUUGGGACAGAGGGAGUAGUUG